This 252-nucleotide long non-coding RNA is filed under the name Homo sapiens (human). RNAcentral describes it as "HSALNT0141862". Lineage: Eukaryota; Metazoa; Chordata; Mammalia; Primates; Hominidae. The record is from RNAcentral.
CUUAAUUGGAGAGACAUCUCUUUUUGACUGAGACCUUUGCUAGAUUGAAGCUGAUGUUUGAAAUGAAUUCAGCUACAUAAGGAAAAUUAUAUUUAAGAGAAAAAACAUGAAAUUUCAAGUGCGUCACCUAGAGGAUUUAAGCAGAAAUUCCACCCCUGACUCCGCCACUCUCAGUUGCUUGAUUUCUGACUGCAAGAUGGGUUUCUACCACCUGGAAAUCAUGAACAACCAGAACUUUGUUCCAGAACUGCC